CCUACGGGUGGCUGCAGUGGGGAAUAUUGCACAAUGGGCGCAAGCCUGAUGCAGCCAUGCCGCGUGUGUGAAGAAGGCCUUCGGGUUGUAAAGCACUUUCAGCGGGGAGGAAGGCGGUGAGGUUAAUAACCUCAUCGAUUGACGUUACCCGCAGAAGAAGCACCGGCUAACUUCGUGCCAGCAGCCGCGGUAAUACGGAGGGUGCAAGCGUUAAUCGGAAUUACUGGGCGUAAAGCGCACGCAGGCGGUCUGUCAAGUCGGAUGUGAAAUCCCCGGGCUCAACCUGGGAACUGCAUUCGAAACUGGCAGGCUAGAGUCUUGUAGAGGGGGGUAGAAUUCCAGGUGUAGCGGUGAAAUGCGUAGAGAUCUGGAGGAAUACCGGUGGCGAAGGCGGCCCCCUGGACAAAGACUGACGCUCAGGUGCGAAAGCGUGGGGAGCAAACAGGAUUAGAUACCCCAGUAGUC
This 465-nucleotide ribosomal RNA is filed under the name uncultured Klebsiella sp. Its description in RNAcentral is "bacterial SSU rRNA". It matches the Rfam family "Bacterial small subunit ribosomal RNA", at positions 338 to 795 of the family's 1533-position model. Lineage: Bacteria; Pseudomonadati; Pseudomonadota; Gammaproteobacteria; Enterobacterales; Enterobacteriaceae. The record is from RNAcentral.